This 305-nucleotide ribosomal RNA is filed under the name uncultured bacterium. Its description in RNAcentral is "bacterial SSU rRNA". It matches the Rfam family "Bacterial small subunit ribosomal RNA", at positions 332 to 629 of the family's 1533-position model. The record is from RNAcentral.
CUUACCCUACGGGGGGCAGCAGUAGGGAAUCUUCCACAAUGGGCGAAAGCCUGAUGGAGCAACGCCGCGUGGGUGAAGAAGGUCUUCGGAUCGUAAACCUCUGUCAGGAGGGAAGAAGUGGUUAUAUGCGAAUAGUGUAUGACUUUGACGGUACCUCCAAAGGAAGCACCGGCUAACUCCGUGCCAGCAGCCGCGGUAAUACGGAGGGUGCGAGCGUUAAUCGGAAUCACUGGGCGUAAAGCGCGCGUAGGCGGCUUUUCAAGUCAGGGGUGAAAUCCCACGGCCCAACCGUGGAACUGCCUUUG